GACCAGCUGCAAAAGGGGACCCCUACUCCUCUGCCAUCUUUUCCCUCCUCCAUGAUGUUGCCUUUAAUUAGACUUUGACUUGACCCGUGGAAAUUACACCAACAGACUGUGGUCCUCUUGAACCCCCAGGACUCCUUGAGAAAUAGGAAAUAAGACUCUACAGUUCCCUUUCUGUUAUCAGUUAUCAGUUAGAAGCUGGAGGAGCUAUGGCCAAGAGGACAAACUUUCUUCUGUGUGGGCUCUCCUGCUUGGUGUUUGUCAUGAGGACACACAAUUCAUCAGGCAAUGAUCCAUGUGCAGACCAUCCCUGCCCUCCUCAUGUUCCCUGUGAAUCCAACAAUGGAAUAUACCGCUGUUCUUACCAUGAAUACACCUCGACCACAGGAAAAGAGGCACUCACAGAUCCGAAAGUCACAUACAAAGGUGAUUCUGGGCUUGUCGUAAAGGUGGCAUUACUGCAACCAUAUGCAUACGUUGGAAGAGAAGCUGGCCAUAGGCUUCUCAGAGGGGAAGACCUUCAAUGUCCUGCUUGAAGGUCGUCUCUUUACUCUGUAGCGUCAUUCAUGUGAGAGAUGGGUAAGAAUUUGAGAUCCAGGUGAAACUGACUUGUGUUCCGUCUCAACUCGAAGUAAGUAGCUGUGCAACUUUGGGGAAAUUGCUUGAAUCCUCAGUUUCAAGUGUAUAACCCCUAAAAUAGAAGUAAUCAUCAUACCUUCUGCAGGUCAGGGAACUCAGCUCAGAGGAAUAUGUGUUUGUUUAAAGGAGCCAAUCCCAAAAUUAAUGAAAUACCCAGUUUAAAACAUAAGUCGUCCUAUGCAUCCAGUGUCAUGCUGGGCACAUUACUUAUUUAAACCACAUACCAACUCCCCAUGACAUGGAAGUCUCUUUUAAGUUGGAAGUUAGCAAGCUUUUUCUGUAGAGGGCUAUCUAGUAAAUAUUUCAGGCUCUGCGGGCCAUGUGGUCUCUGUUGCAACUAUUCAAUCCCAUCUUUACAACGUAACUGCAGCCAUAGACAUAAAUGAAUGCAUGUGUCUGUGCACCAAUAAAACUUUAUUUACAAAGACAGGCAGUGGACCAGCCCAGGUCACAGUUUGCAACCUUGGUCUAAGUAAUGAGAUUACUUGCUAUCCCCCCCCCCCGCAAAUUAACUAAUACUUACAGUAGAAAUAGUCAUAUUUAUUUGAAAAGGAAAGUGAUUUGUUUUGCUGAGUUUAUCUCAAUAUAUUUUCUAGUGGAAUAUUUUCUAAAAGAAAUUUGACAGAAACCACUCAUGGGAGCCACACAAGUAAUUUCAAAUUUUCUAAUAGCUACAUUUAAAAAGGAAACACAGAGGGGCGCCUGGGUAGCUCAGUCAUUAAGC
Ailuropoda melanoleuca (giant panda) is the source of this 1360-nucleotide long non-coding RNA. RefSeq lists it as uncharacterized. The record is from RefSeq and is a predicted model, not a curated record. The transcript is spliced from 3 exons. Lineage: Eukaryota; Metazoa; Chordata; Mammalia; Carnivora; Ursidae.